RNAcentral lists this long non-coding RNA (732 nucleotides) under Erythranthe guttata (spotted monkey flower). RNAcentral's name for it is "long non-coding RNA (EGUT_LNC000570)". Lineage: Eukaryota; Viridiplantae; Streptophyta; Magnoliopsida; Lamiales; Phrymaceae. The record is from RNAcentral.
UCUGACAAUUUAUAAAAUGACAAAAGAAUAAUAAAACAUAACAGAGCCGGUCCUGAGGGGAAGCCAGAGAUGCCACCGCUUAGGGCCCCAUUUUAAUCUGGGCCCCCGAAAUUUAGUUAAAAAAAUCCUACUAUAUAUAUAUAGAUACAUUUUUCAAAUAGAAAAUAAUAUUGCAAACAAAAAUUUAUAAGACAGAGGCCUCGAUAUUUUAUCUCGCCUAAGGCCCCGGAAACCCUAGGGCCGGCUCUGAAACAUAAUUUAUUUUAGAAAUUCAGUAAAAUUGGUCUUCCAAGAAGAAAUCCUCCUGCACCAAAAAAACCAAGUUGAAUCCGAUCAGAUACUUGUUUUCGCCGGAGCCCACUUCCACCGACUAGAUACGAAGGUAAGCUCAUCUCAUAUAUUCCAUCUAAAAUCCGAUUUCGUCCGGUUUUGGCAACUUGUUUUUUAUCAAUUUUUUCCCCGAGAACGUUUCUAUGAUUUUUCCAUGGCUAAAUCGAAUGAACUCUGAUAUUACGAAGAAAAUCCCCAAAAUCGCAUUGUCGCGAUUUUAGAGUUUCAAGAUCUUGGUGUGGGUGGCAGACCAGGUUGAUAGGGGCGAUGAUGGGGAGGAAGGCGUGCAAUUUUGUUGGAGAAGAAAAAAAUAGACCCUAUUUAGGUAAAUAAGAGGAUAUACAAGUAAAUGCACCAUAAUUAUUAAUGGUUCUAUUAUUUGACCAUUCACUAUUAAAAUUA